This 273-nucleotide ribosomal RNA is filed under the name uncultured Clostridia bacterium. RNAcentral describes it as "partial 16S ribosomal RNA". It matches the Rfam family "Bacterial small subunit ribosomal RNA", at positions 524 to 796 of the family's 1533-position model. The record is from RNAcentral. Lineage: Bacteria; Bacillati; Bacillota; Clostridia.
UACGUAGGUGGCAAGCGUUGUCCGGAUUUACUGGGCGUAAAGGGAGCGUAGGUGGAUAUUUAAGUGGGAUGUGAAAUACUCGGGCUUAACCUGGGUGCUGCAUUCGAAACUGAAUAUCUAGAGUGCAGGAGAGGAAAGUAGAAUUCCUAGUGUAGCGGUGAAAUGCGUAGAGAUUAGGAAGAAUACCAGUGGCGAAGGCGACUUUCUGGACUGUAACUGACACUGAGGCUCGAAAGCGUGGGGAGCAAACAGGAUUAGAAACCCUUGUAGUCC